RNAcentral lists this ribosomal RNA (493 nucleotides) under uncultured bacterium. RNAcentral describes it as "partial 16S ribosomal RNA". It matches the Rfam family "Bacterial small subunit ribosomal RNA", at positions 30 to 523 of the family's 1533-position model. The record is from RNAcentral.
AUUGAACGCUGGCGGCAUGCUUUACACAUGCAAGUCGAACGGUAACAGGUUAAGCUGACGAGUGGCGAACGGGUGAGUAAUGCAUCGGAACGUGCCCGAUCGUGGGGGAUAACACUUCGAAAGAAGUGCUAAUACCGCAUACGAUCUGAGGAUGAAAGCGGGGGACCGUAAGGCCUCGCGCGAUCGGAGCGGCCGAUGUCAGAUUAGGUAGUUGGUGGGGUAAAGGCUCACCAAGCCGACGAUCUGUAGCUGGUCUGAGAGGACGACCAGCCACACUGGGACUGAGACACGGCCCAGACUCCUACGGGAGGCAGCAGUGGGGAAUUUUGGACAAUGGGCGCAAGCCUGAUCCAGCAAUGCCGCGUGCAGGAAGAAGGCCUUCGGGUUGUAAACUGCUUUUGUACGGAGCGAAAAGGCUCCCUCUAAUACAGGGGGCUCAUGACGGUACCGUAAGAAUAAGCACCGGCUAACUACGUGCCAGCAGCCGCGGUAA